GACGGGGCCGCACAAGCGGAGGAACAUGUGGUUAAUCGAUGAUACGCGAGGAACCUUACCUGGGCUUAAAUGUAGAGUGCAUUUUUAGAGAUAGAAAUUCCCUUCGGGGCUUUCUGCAAGGUGCUGCAUGGUUGUCGUCAGCUCGUGCCGUGAGGUGUCGGGUUAAGUCCCAUAACGAGCGCAACCCUUAUCGUUAGUUGCCAUCUGGUAAUGCAGGGGACUCUAGCGAAACUGCCACCGUAAGGUGAGAGGAAGGUGGGGAUGACGUCAAAUCAGCACGGCCCUUAUGUCCAGGGCUACACACGUGUUACAAUGGUCGGUACAGAGGGCAGCUACCUGGUGACAGGAUGCUAAUCUCGAAAACCGGUCUCAGUUCGGAUCGAAGUCUGCAACUCGACUUCGUGAAGCUGGAUUCGCUAGUAAUCGCGCAUCAGCUAUGGCGCGGUGAAUACGUUCCCGGGCCUU
RNAcentral lists this ribosomal RNA (465 nucleotides) under uncultured Sphingobacteriales bacterium. RNAcentral's name for it is "bacterial SSU rRNA". It matches the Rfam family "Bacterial small subunit ribosomal RNA", at positions 917 to 1381 of the family's 1533-position model. The record is from RNAcentral. Lineage: Bacteria; Pseudomonadati; Bacteroidota; Sphingobacteriia; Sphingobacteriales.